GUACACGCUGUGACUAGCAUAUCAAUAAGCGGAGGAAAAGAAACUAACAAGGAUUCCCCUAGUAACGGCGAGUGAAGCGGGAAGAGCUCAAAUUUGAAAUCUUAAAGGGUUUCCCUUCACGAAUUGUAGUUUAAAGAAGUGUUUUCUGUUGAGGUUUUGGUAAAAGUUCUUUGGAAUAGGACAUCAUAGAGGGUGAGAAUCCCGUAUUUGACCUUUACUUUCAACUUUGUGAUACACUUUCAAAGAGUCGGAUUGUUUGGGAAUGCAGUCCAAAAUGGGUGGUAAAUUUCAUCUAAAGCUAAAUAUUGGCGAGAGACCGAUAGCGAACAAGUACUGUGAGGGAAAGAUGAAAAGAACUUUGAAAAGAGAGUUAAACAGUACGUGAAAUUGUCAAAAGGGAAGCGUUUGACACCAGUGUUGUUUUUCUGAAAAUCAAUUAAAGAACUGUUUAUGCUAAGUUGUUUAGACUUUAUCAGCUAUCUGCUUAGUUUUGAGCUUUUCUUUAAUGCACUUUUCAGUUAACAAGUCAACAUCAAUUUCUUUUGCUGUAAAAAAGCUUGAGGAAGGUGGCUUGAGAUUCGUCUUAAGUGUUUAUAGCCUCUUGCCUAUGCAGUCGGAGAGAUUGAGGUCUGCAGCGUAGAUCCUUCGGGGCUAAAUGCAUUUGUGCUAAGUUAUAGCAUUUUAUAGACAACUUGUUGACUAUGAUUUGUCUUGUAGCUUACUCGCUUAUGUUAUUUUACCUACGCUUAGGAUGUUGAUAUGCAUGACUGAUAU
RNAcentral lists this ribosomal RNA (774 nucleotides) under uncultured Neocallimastigales. RNAcentral's name for it is "partial large subunit ribosomal RNA". It matches the Rfam family "Eukaryotic large subunit ribosomal RNA", at positions 22 to 640 of the family's 3401-position model. The record is from RNAcentral. Lineage: Eukaryota; Fungi; Neocallimastigomycota; Neocallimastigomycetes; Neocallimastigales.